UCUCCGUGAUGAACAAAUUACAGAUGACGAGUCUGAUCUAAUUCCAUUCUAUUCCCGUGACGACAAAUCGAGGCAUUUGUCUGAGAGAA
This is a small nucleolar RNA of Macadamia integrifolia, 89 nucleotides long. The record is from RefSeq and is a predicted model, not a curated record. Lineage: Eukaryota; Viridiplantae; Streptophyta; Magnoliopsida; Proteales; Proteaceae.